Molecule: ribosomal RNA, 497 nt
Filed under: uncultured bacterium
Lineage: Bacteria
Description: partial 16S ribosomal RNA
Rfam family: Bacterial small subunit ribosomal RNA
Source: RNAcentral
GAUGAACGCUGGCGGCGUGCCUAAUACAUGCAAGUCGAGCGAACGGACGAGAAGCUUGCUUCUCUGAUGUUAGCGGCGGACGGGUGAGUAACACGUGGAUAACCUACCUAUAAGACUGGGAUAACUUCGGGAAACCGGAGCUAAUACCGGAUAAUAUUUUGAACCGCAUGGUUCAAAAGUGAAAGACGGUCUUGCUGUCACUUAUAGAUGGAUCCGCGCUGCAUUAGCUAGUUGGUAAGGUAACGGCUUACCAAGGCAACGAUGCAUAGCCGACCUGAGAGGGUGAUCGGCCACACUGGAACGGAGACACGGUCCAGACUCCUACGGGAGGCAGCAGUAGGGAAUCUUCCGCAAUGGGCGAAAGCCUGACGGAGCAACGCCGCGUGAGUGAUGAAGGUCUUCGGAUCGUAAAACUCUGUUAUUAGGGAAGAACAUAUGUGUAAGUAACUGUGCACAUCUUGACGGUAACUAAUCAGAAAGCCACGGCUAACUACGUG